Molecule: unclassified non-coding RNA, 5102 nt
Filed under: Patiria miniata (bat star)
Lineage: Eukaryota; Metazoa; Echinodermata; Asteroidea; Valvatida; Asterinidae
Description: egl nine homolog 1-like, transcript variant X1
Rfam family: tRNA (bases 3788-3860)
Source: RNAcentral
UCUCGUGGAUACCGAAUCCAAAUAUUGUCAACAUUGCGUACGUGACUGGAACAGCGUGUAGCACACUUCCGCGGUUUGGCAGACCGAUUUCUCACGGUGAUGUCCCUCAGCUUUGCACGUAGCACGCACGUUGACUUGACUUGUACUUCAAUAUGAAUGAUUAAUAUGAAGCAAUAUCGGGGCCUACGUGCAUAACGAUUGUUGUGUUAUAUUUCGGGAAUGGGCAAAGGAGCCGUUGGCCUAUCAAUAGCGUUUGUUUCCUGUAUGGCUUUUCUUGUACCGCCACUUCUGCAUGGCAGCAUCAGUUGUUCAGUCGAAACACCCAGCCAAAGACGGCGGCAGCAAACUGUGCGCUUACGACCUGUGCCGGCAGAUGGAAAAUCUGAAGGUCUGUGGCCGCUGCAGAGAAACAUGGUACUGUUGUAAGGACCAUCAGAAGCAACAUUGGAAAGUACAUAAAAAGUCGUGUAAUAUCAACCAGACCUCAUUACAGAAUGAUCGCAUGGAGAGUGAAGAUGUCAUCUUAAGUCAGCAAACUACUGCGCCUGCAGAAUCAAAUCCUAGACUCCAGUCUGAGGCCGAAAGCACCAAGGUCCAGGAGGACAUUGCCAAAUUCUCGGCUAAUAUUCAAAGGAAGCAGUCGUACACUCUAACGCCCUGCGACAACGAGGAGAAUUUUAACGCAGCUCUGGAAUCAGAGUUUGACCGCGGUAAAGAUUUUCAUCAGUCAAUUAAGCCAGUAGUUCAUUCCAGGGAAACGAGAAGUAAACAAGAGAACAUGCCGCCCAACCAACCUACGCCGGGAGUCAUAAACACUGCUCAUCCGAGGAGCAAGAAAAGUAACGCGCUGGUCAAGUAUGUCGUGGAGCACAUGCAAAAGUUUGGUAUAUGCGUCGUGGACAAAUUCCUCAAUCCGGAAAAUGGGGAUGCCAUAUUGGAAGAAGUGAAGGCCUUGCGAGAUGAGAAAGCAUUCCAUGAUGGCCAGUUGGUUUCAGAUUCCGCAUCCGCAAAGGACAUUCGUGGAGACAUGAUCACGUGGACAGACGGCAGUGAUCCAGGAACGAAAAACAUUGGCUUCCUCAUUUCUAGAAUUGACUCGAUCAUUCAUCAGUGCAAGGGGCAUCUUGAAGGGUUCAAAAAUAUCAGUGGUCGGACAGAGGCAAUGGUGGCUUGUUAUCCGGGUAAAGGAGCCCACUAUGUCAAGCAUGUUGACAACCCUAACAAGGACGGCCGGUGUGUCACUUGCAUCUAUUACCUCAACAAGGACUGGGAUUCCAAGACGAUGGGCGGCAGUCUGCAGCUCUAUCCUCGUGAACACGACAUGAUGGCAAGUGUCGACCCUAUCUUCAACAGAUUAAUCUUCUUCUGGUCGGAUCGGAGAAAUCCCCAUGAAGUUAUGCCAGCCUUCAACACGCGGUAUGCUGUCACCGUCUGGUACUUUGACGCUAUUGAGAGGAAGGCGGCCUUAACUUCAGCAGUCAGUUAAAGAAAUGGUUCUGAUGCAUCUGGCUACGUCAUUCUUUACAUCGUGGGACGACACCGUGUCGUCAGUCUCUCAACCGUUUCACCGAGGUUGGGCGUGUUCAUUUCUGACCAGAGAACUGGUUUUUGGAAAGCAGGGAGGUAGUCAUAAGAAGUUGGACCUCAUUAAGUCAUUCAACUAUGAGAACAUUCAAAGAGUGAUCCAAAGAUUGAUCCAAAUUGAAAAAAAUCCGCCCAAGAAUUAUUUAAAAUGUGGGAGUGGGAAAAGAAGGAUCGUGGCUUUACAACUAGAAGUCAUCUUUCUGCUUUGGAAAAGUUGGUGGUGCAUCUAAUGGAAGGCAGUCAUUCAAUUACAGUGUAUGUAUGGAAUUGUAUGUAAUUAAACUUCACAUCGACCUAAUGGCCUUAAAAUCAAUUACCUUAAAAGUAUAACCUGUGAUUCUGUACCUGUAUUGUAAGAAACCAUUCUGAUAAGAAUUUUCCAUAUAAGAAAGAACUUUGAAGAAUACCAUGCAUGGCAUGCAUAUUGACACAGCAGUGUCAUUUUGGAAGCAAUUACGCAGUUUAAAUGAGUAGUUACUUUGCUAUAAACAAAAUUUAUAAUCAAGUCAUAUGGCACGUCAAUUGCAAAGUCGCAUUUCAAGUCAUAACGCAAGUCUCAUUGUACAUGUAAGGCCGAAAAUCCUUGUGUCCGUCAUGUGGUAAGCAUAGUGUGUACUGCGUGAUGUGUUGGAAUCAGUUGUUUGAAAAGCAACGCCCAUACGUCCAUGUAUCUUGUCCGUAUUUUGCAUUGUGCUAUCUGUACUGCGUUAUCCAUUGAAAUUUUAUAUGCUUCAGGUAGCAAUUGAAAUGGAUGGCACAUACAAUACGCACAAGGGUUUUUUUGUGUGAAACUGAAAGAAACGAUGUAGUGGUGGGGUAAAAAGAUUCACAUUUGGUUGACUUUCAAACGAAGCAGUUUAUGUGUGAAUCGUAUUGAAACAAACUAGGGCCUGCCUCAAUUUUAAUUUUCAAAUCUUCCAUUGAUAAAACAUCGAAUUUUGUAUUAUAUUGAGAAGUUAAAUCUUGUCAACGUUUGUUUCGUAAAAUUGUACUUUGGCAAAGCUGAUCUAAAUUUGAUUGAGACUUGAUUUUUCUACUCGCAAAAUUGCUGCGUGCUCUCUGUUGAGCACUUACGUCUGUCAAGUGUGCAGAGAAAUACGUAAUUUUCAGAGUACAUGUAUGCACCACGGAUCGGAUACGCAACUGGUGAAGCACAGUGCAAUACGCACUGGAUCGAAAACGGACAUGGAUUUUCGGCCUGUCACAUCGCACGUCGCAUCUCAAGUGGCAUUGCAAGUCACAUUGGAAAUGAUAUUACAAGUCGCAUCCAAAGUCACAGCCAAAGUCGCAUUGCAAACCGCAAGUCCAGCAACAAGUUACUCAGUUAAUAAUUGUGUAAAAGUCAUUCCUUUGUUAUUCUGCAUCCCCUGUUUCUUUCUUGUAAACUGAGUUGUGAUUUGACUUAUGAUUGACCUAAAGGUAUAGUCCAUCAUUUGUAAUUUGUGCAUUUUGUUCGUUUGAAUUACUGGUCAUGUUGCUUGAGAGAAUGGCAAUGUUCACCAUCAUCGAAACAUUUUUAAAAAGGGCCGAAAACCCACAGAUGAUUUUUUUCAAGCCACCUGGCAUUAUUCGAUUUAAGGAAACAUUCUGUGGUUGGGAACAUUGAGCUGAGUGAGAAAUUGCUACAGAUUGCUGCAUAGUAUGGAAAUUCAGUGAUAAUAUGUUAUAAUUAUUCCAGCUGAACAAGUUUAAAGUUUUAUGUUCAAGUAGUUUUAAUUGAAAUACAGGUGUAUUGCAAAAACAUGCAAAGGCACAGAUUUGUAUAUAUAAAAGUUAAUUCAAAAGAGCAAAGAAUGGCAUUGUUUUGCAAUGCGCUUAAUUGCAUUUUGAAAAAAAUAUUUAAACUACAUUGAAUGGAAUUAGCGGAGUACAAAAUGGGUAUUUGUAAGGAAACUAACAUGGCUUUAAGGCUUGUCUUCCAUAUAUGACUUGAAUCUGUUUAAGUGUUUGUGUUUAGUAUACCUGUAUGUACUUUAGUCGAUUUUCGCAUGUUACAUUUGAGUAUCACAUCAGACUGGAAAAACCUCAAAUCCAGGAGGAUGCACCAGACUUGUUAUAGGAACGCAUGGCUUGUUCAUAUAAGCAGCUUUUACUAAACUCCUGUUUUUAAAAAACAAGUACUUGGCACAGUGUUUUGCAUUUGAGAGCUGUAACGUGACCUGAGCCAAUGGUUUCUAGCAAGUUUAGGGAACCGCCAACAUAGGGCUGGAUAGCUGAGUUGGUAGAGCGCUGGAACGGCAAUCCAGAGGUCUCAGGUUUAAACCUAGCUCCAGUCAAUUUCUUUGUUCAACUUUGAAAAUAUUUUUAUAAUUAAUGCACCUAAGUAGUGUCCCUUUGUGGUUUAUUCGAAAGUUUGGGAGUUGUUUUUCUCAGGACUCCCGCACUUUGGGGAAUGGGGGAUGAAUAAAAAAGCACACAUUUUCCCCCAACUCCCUGCACAUGUUUGAGAGUCAGAGUAGCGCCCUCUAGUGGUGAAAUAUACCAUGACGGCAAGAAAUGCUUUGUUGAAAUUCCAUUAUUGUAACUGAUAAAAAUAUUGGCUCAUCACGCUAAAAUAUUUAUGCAGCAUCGUAACCAAAAUUUAGUGUAGUGGUUUUUGUGAUACAUGUAUAUCAGUAAAAGUGGUAUUUGCAAUUGGCCUUUGAAAAUUACAAAAGAUGAACAAUUUAUUAAACUUUAAUUAUACAUUUGCAGAUCAGUGCGUGCUUAAAUGCUUUCACAAUGUCAAACCAAAUGUGGCCGUGCUGUUUAGUGGGAACAUCUUUUCUGUAUAUCUUGAAAAAAAAAAAUGCCUUAAUGACUAUAUGAACAGUUAAACAGUUUUCGAUAUUCAUUCUGUACUCAAUUUAUAAAACCAAGACUAGACGUGCCUAGCCCAGCAGCUUUAGGUUUAGGUAGUUUAGAACAUUAUUUAUACUCGGUGAUAUAAGUAAUGUUCUCAGUCAGUUGGACGUUGGGCUGGCCCUACAGGUCCGACAAAAACCACUAUUGGACUCGAUUAUGCGUUGAACAGUAUACAAAUAAUGAAUGCUUAUGAGUGCAAUGGUAAGAAUAAUUUCAUUUCGUGAUUGAUGGAGUGUUCCAUUCGAUGAGGUGAAGCCGAGUGGAAUGGAACAUUCCAUCUGUCACUGAAUGAAAUUAGUCUUUCAUUCCACGAUGUGAAACAUUCAUUAUUUCUUUUGUACAACACCUGAAUAAAUCCCCGUCAUCUGAUUGGUCAGAUCCACCAAUUGUGUGACCUUGCAAUGGAACUUCUGUUUAUGGUGGAAUAGAACUUCUAUUUUUGCGGCGCAAUCGUGCAGUGAGUUUGGGACGAAUAAUUCAAUGACAUGUGAUUAACGACCCACCAAUCAGAUAACAGGGAUUUAUUCAGGUGUUGUGUAAUUGUUAAUAAAUGGCAGUGAAUAGGGAAUGGUACUCAUUGAUACUUUCAAGUCGCAUCACCCGUGCUCUUCAACAGAUUGGAUUUUAUUUUCUCUGAAUAAAUUUUCAACUUGUAUGUUUUAUACCAACCCCCC